Molecule: long non-coding RNA, 521 nt
Organism: Zingiber officinale
Lineage: Eukaryota; Viridiplantae; Streptophyta; Magnoliopsida; Zingiberales; Zingiberaceae
Exons: 2
Source: RefSeq, a predicted model, not a curated record
AUUAGUUUUUCUCCCGAAACCUAAACUUUUCUUCUCACCCGAACCUCUCUUCUCCUCUCACGCUCGCGACGGCGCGCGAUGGUUCUCUCUCGGGCGAAGACAAAGCCGAGCUAGGGUUUUCCUCCCUCCGGCGGUCGGCGAAGGCUUCCUUCCGGCGAACCUUAGUGAUUUCGGUCCUCUUGUCGAGGAGAGUUCGUAGAGACGAGGAAGAGGCCGGGAAGAUCAAGCUCCUCCGAACCCUAGAACCUCCUCUUCGGCUGUAAGUCCAAGAACAAGAGAUAAAGGAAAGGAAAAUAUUUAGGAAGGAAGGCGACAAGGUGGUGCGGAUGGUGUGUGAUGCGUGGACUGUGGGAGAGAUCAGGGGAAUUGAGUCACACUUUAUGUUUUAUGUCAAUAGAGAUUGAUAAAGAGUUGUUUCUAUUUUUCUGAUGUUGCUAUUGAGUCUAUUCCACAUUGUUUGUUUGGUUGUUUCCAUUGUUGGAGCUUUAUUCAUUUACCAUUGCUAGAUUAGUUUUCUUUGA